This is an RNA transcript of Erythranthe guttata (spotted monkey flower), 2342 nucleotides long. It is a transcript of the gene named splicing factor U2af large subunit A, with no coding region annotated. The record is from RefSeq and is a predicted model, not a curated record. Lineage: Eukaryota; Viridiplantae; Streptophyta; Magnoliopsida; Lamiales; Phrymaceae.
AAAAUUAAAAACUCGACCUUGAAGAAAACAACAACUAGGGUUUCGAAAAUCACCUAAUUUUCAAUACAAUCAGCAUUGAAUCAUUCCCCCGGAACGAUGUCAAGUCAUGAAGUUGAUGGAAACUCCUAUUCUCCUUCUGCUUUGGACUCACCCAGAGAAUCAGACAUGCAACAACUAGCUCAAAAAGGGUCAUCCAAUUCAGGGUCCAAGCAUGGAUCUCGUGACCAUGAGAAAGACAGAGAGAGGGAGUCCUCCAGAAGUAGAGAUAAGGAAAGGGAAAGAGGUCGUGACAAAGAGCGGGACAGGGACAGAGAACGAGAUAGGGAGAGAGGUAGAGAUAGGGAAAAGGAUAGAGAUAAAAAUAGGGAGAGGGAUCCAGACAAGGAUCGAGAUCGUGAGCGUCACAGGUACCGUAGUGAGAGAAGAGAGAGAGAGAGGACUAGAGAUCCCGACGAUGGAGAUGACUAUUACAGAAGCCGAGACCAUGACAGGCGGAGAGAUCACGAUAAAGACCGAGAGGAUAGGCACAGGCAUAGGCCUAGAUCUCCGUCAAGGUCAAAGUCUGAGCACAGAUCAAGAUCACGUUCUCGUUCACGCUCCAAAAGCAAAAGGACGAGUGGUUUUGACAUGGCACCCCCUGCUGCAUCAUUGCUUCCCAAUGCCACCGCUAUUCCAGGUCAGAUGCCUGGGAUCCCUCCCACAAUGCCCGGAAUGUUUGCAAAUAUGUUACCUAUGGCAGCUGGACAGUUUGGAGCACUCUCAAUGAUGCCUGUUCAGGCAAUGACUCAGCAGGCUACAAGACAUGCUCGACGAGUCUAUGUUGGUGGACUUCCUCCCUCUGCUAAUGAACAGACUGUGGCGACCUUCUUUAGUCAUGUUAUGUCAGCAAUCGGAGGAAACACUGCCGGUCCAGGCGAUGCGGUUGUUAAUGUGUAUAUUAACCACGAGAAAAAGUUUGCUUUUGUGGAGAUGAGAUCUGUUGAAGAGGCUAGUAAUGCAAUGGCUUUAGAUGGAAUUAUUUUUGAGGGUGCACCAGUUAAAGUGAGAAGACCCAGCGAUUAUAACCCUUCACUGGCUGCGACUCUUGGCCCAAGUCAACCGAAUCCCGAUCUAAAUCUUGCUGCUGUGGGGUUGAGUCCAGGAUCUUCUGGUGGACUUGAGGGCCCUGACCGUAUAUUUGUUGGUGGUUUACCGUAUUAUUUCACAGAGGCACAGAUAAGGGAGCUGCUGGAGUCAUUUGGACCGCUUCGAGGCUUUGAUCUCGUUAAAGAUAGAGAAACAGGGAACUCCAAAGGCUACGCCUUUUGCGUUUACCAAGAUUUAUCGGUUACAGAUAUUGCUUGUGCAGCUCUAAAUGGGAUAAAAAUGGGCGAUAAAACACUUACUGUUAGGCGUGCUAACCAGGGCACUACACAGCCUAAACCUGAACAAGAGAGUGUGUUAAUGCAUGCACAGCAACAAAUAGCAUUGCAGAGAAUAAUGCUACAACCUCCUGUAAUAGCUACAAAGGUCGUUUGCCUAACGGAAGUGGUAAAUCCAGAAGAGCUCAAAGACGAUGACGACUAUGAGGAUAUAGUGGAGGACAUGAAAAUCGAAUGCGCGAAGUUUGCCUUCUCAAGUCCCUUAAUCUGCUAACCUGAAGCCACACAUAGAUACAGAAAACUCGGGAAUCUUAUUAAAUACCUAUUCCACCCUUAAUUAAAUCAUUCAUCUCAGCACUGACAUUAUUUUUUUCUAGGUACUUUGGUAAAUGUUGUCAUCCCUCGGCCACUUCCCAGUGGCGAAAUGGGUCCAGGUGUAGGAAAGGUCUUCUUGGAAUAUACAGACACUGAAGGUGCUACAAAAGCAAGGCAAGGACUGAAUGGUAGGAAAUUCGGUGGCAAUGAAGUGGUUGCAGUUUUCUAUCCAGAAAACAAGUUCGCUGAGGCGGAUUACGAGGGCUAGCUUAUUGCUAUUGGCUUUUGCCACAUCAUCAUCCUCAGUAUCUCCUAUGAAGAUAUCUGAAUUUUGAUGUUAGAUAUGAUAAUCUUUAAAUAGGUUUAUGCUUCUAUUCGUACAAUUUUGCAGGUUUCCUUUUUAAUGUGCGCUUGAAGACCAUGCUCAAGAUUUGAUUCUGGAUCAGGACAUUUGUGUUAUGGUGUUUUGGAUGAUUAAAUUAAAUAGAGAUAAUGAAUGAAUUUACGUAGUCGAUGAUUUGGUCUCCAUAGAGCUUUGUAAUCUGCCAAGUAGUCGUUGUUUGCUCUAAAUUUCUGAUUGAUUAGUUUCGAGUUGUGCAAGUUUUUUUUGGUUUGUGUUAAGAGUGGACUAUAUGUUGAUCUCUCCUCAAAUGUAACCAUGUUCUC